UAGGAACCGUGAGAUUAAGCCAUCGCGGCAGGUGCUCACGUUAAGCCCACUGACUUUCAUGUCCCUAUCUACUAUCUAGCGAAACCACAGCCAAGGGAACGGGCUUGGAAUAAUUAGCGGGGAAAGAAGACCCUUUUGAGCUUGACUCUAAUCUGGCAGUGUAAGGAGACAUAAGAGGUGUAGAAUAAGUGGGAGAUAUUAGACUUCGGUUUGGUAUCGACAAUGAAAUACCACUACUCUUAUUGUUUCCUUACUUACUUGAUUAAAUGGAACGUGUAUCAUUUCC
Molecule: non-coding RNA, 286 nt
Filed under: Drosophila virilis
Lineage: Eukaryota; Metazoa; Arthropoda; Insecta; Diptera; Drosophilidae
Description: Eukaryotic large subunit ribosomal RNA
Rfam family: Eukaryotic large subunit ribosomal RNA
Source: Rfam by way of RNAcentral